GGAAGCCUGAUUCGGCGCCUCCAUUGUUAGAAAUCUCUCUCAGGCUGGCGUCACCCUGUCCUGGUCCUGGAGGAAGCCUGAUUCGCCGCCUCCAUUGUUAGAAAGCUCUCUCAGGCUGAUGUCACCCUGUCCUGGACCUGGAGGAAGCCUGAUUCACCGCCUCCAUUGUUAGAAAGCUCUCUCAGGCUGACGUCACCCUGUCCUGGACCUGGAGGAAGCCUGAUUCGCCGCCUCCAUUGUUAGAAAUCUCUCUCAGGCUGGCGUCACCCUGUCCUGGUCCUGGAGGAAGCCUGAUUCGCCGCCUCCAUUGUUAGAAAUCUCUCUCAGGCUGGCGUCACCCUGUCCUGGUCCUGGAGGAAGCCUGAUUCGCCGCCUCCAUUGUUAGAAAGCUCUCUCAGGCUGAUGUCACCCUGUCCUGGACCUGGAGGAAGCCUGAUUCACCGCCUCCAUUGUUAGAAAGCUCUCUCAGGCUGACGCCACCCUGUCCUGGACCUGGAGGAAGCCUGAUUCGCCGCCUCCAUUGUUAGAAAUCUCUCUCAGGCUGGCGUCACCCUGUCCUGGUCCUGGAGGAAGCCUGAUUCGCCGCCUCCAUUGUUAGAAAUCUCUCUCAGGCUGGCGUCACCCUGUCCUGGUCCUGGAGGAAGCCUGAUUCGCCGCCUCCAUUGUUAGAAAGCUCUCUCAGGCUGAUGUCACCCUGUCCUGGACCUGGAGGAAGCCUGAUUCACCGCCUCCAUUGUUAGAAAGCUCUCUCAGGCUGGCGUCACCCUGUCCUGGACCUGGAGGAAGCCUGAUUCGGCGCCUCCAUUGUUAGAAAGCUCUCUCAGGCUGACGUCACCCUGUCCUGGACCUGGAGGAAGCCUGAUUCGCCGCCUCCAUUGUUAGAAAGCUCUCUCAGGCUGACGUCACCCUGUCCUGGACCUGGAGGAAGCCUGAUUCGCCGCCUCCAUUGUUAGAAAGCUCUCUCAGGCUGGCGUAACCCUGUCCUGGACCUGGAGGAAGCCUGAUUCGCCGCCUCCAUUGUUAGAAAGCUCUCUCAGGCUGGCGUAACCCUGUCCUGGACCUGGAGGAAGCCUGAUUCGCCGCCUCCAUUGUUAGAAAGCUCUCUCAGGCUGACGUCACCCUGUCCUGGACCUGGAGGAAGCCUGAUUCGCCGCCUCCAUUGUUAGAAAGCUCUCUCAGGCUGACGUCACCCUGUCCUGGUCCUGGAGGAAGCCUGAUUCGCCGCCUCCACUGUUAGAAUUCUCUCUCAGGCUGAGGUAAGAUUGACUUCCCUGCCGCUUCUCCCUGAAGACCCUAGUUCUGCUCUUUGAAGCCAAGCAAGAUUACUCUUUAUAGGGCAGCUUUGCCUGUAUUUGUAGAUAGCUUUUACACAUAUUUGCUCCCAAAUCAACAAGGUUUUCCCCAGGUACCACCUGGACUAUUCUUCUGUCAGCAUUUCUCACGUGAUACUGAAUCAGGAGCCUUUACUGUCCUCACCCUCAUGUGGGUGGGAGCCUGGUUUCUCAUCACUCUGGUUAGACUGUGCCUAAUGUGGGGUGCUGCUUUUUAAGGACAAUCAGCUCUAAGUUGAGGCUCUGAUUCUUGCACGUGCUUCCAAGCACGUGUCUUCUUGCCAUCUCCAUUGCCGCCCCAAAGUCACUCCCCUCAGACAGGGACGGCAGCAUCUCAGUCAUCACUCUGCACCCUAUUUGACCAGCUGGAGAGUCCUGUGUCUUCACACAACUGUGAGAAUGAUCAUUGGAAACUAUGCAUUCCAUAAUAGCUUUAUGUUAAAUUCAUUUCUCAUCUUUCAUUGGCCCUUGGGAAGAUGUCCAGAUCCCUUAACAUAGCUUAGGAAACCCUCUCAAAUUCACGGCCCACCUUUCUCUCCAACUUCAUUCCCCCAGCCCCGACGUCAUCUGAGGUUCAAGUUCCGUAGUCCCUCUAGAUAGCUGAGCACAGGAAGCUCAGGGCCCUGCGUUUCGGGCAUUUGAAGGGCUCUGCUGGUCGUGGCUUUCCCCACCAUCUCCUCCGUUUCCACGUGACUUGCUCCUGCAUACCUCAGCUUCAGUGCUGCUCCGAGAUGCCUUUCCUAAUCUCUGAACCAGGAGAGGCUUCCCACCACAAGCUCCUCUAUGGGAUUCUGGUUAACUACCAGUGAAACGUCCACCUUUCCAGCCCGCCUGUAAGCUAGGCCAUAACAGGGGCCGUAGCCCUCCUUACAGCCGCGUUCUUGUCACCUGCGUGGUUUCCAGCGCCCAGUCGCCUCCUAUGUAUUUGCCUUGUGAGGGAUCAAUCGGUGUCGUAGAGCCAUUCAGAGCUAUUCCUCUAUGAAGUGAUUUGGAUGCCAUGGUGACUAAGAAGCAUGCUGUGAUCCCUGGGGUUUAUGUAAAUAUUUUGUGCUCCUGAGCGUUCAAGUAGGUGGAAUAUCAACUUUACUAAGCCCAGGUGGUGGUGGUGUUUAAAUGCGAUUUCAUCUUUUCUUAUUUUAAUUUACGAAUUGCUCAGUUGAUCAUAUUAGAAAAGGGUACCCACAUUGUGCCUGCUGGAGCCAUAUCUUUGUAAAAAUUCUGAAAGCAAGGGGAAAUGUUGGAGUAAAAUUAUCACAUUUCCUAACAAUGUCUGUUUUGACUGGAAGCUCUGAUGCAUCAUUUUGUGUCAACCAGAAUAAAAGUAAUCUUUUUUUUCCUGGUGGUGCUUUAUAGUUAGAUUGUAGGGAAUCUUCAUAAAAUAUGCCAGCCAUGCACCUUUGAUUCAAUAUUCGUGUAUUCUCCCACAUACGGAAUUUCAAGGCCAUGUUUAAGGGGAAUGAAACGAGGCCUCAUAAAGAAUGGCAGCUUAUGCAGCUUACUUUUAAAAAGAGGCUCUGAGAAACCUUUAGCUUUUUCAAACUUCCAAAUUUUAACCCCAAAUCCACUAGAGCCCAAAUACCCACAUUUGUCUCUGAAUAGUCGUUUGCUUUUGGUUAAGGAUGAUUACACUAGCACAAUUUUUUUUUUUUUGAGAUGGGUUCUUGCUCUGUUGCCCAGGCUGGAGUGCGGUGGCAUGAUCUCGGCUCACCACAACCUCCACCUCCUGGGUUCAACAAUUCUCAUGCCUCAGCCUCCUGAGUAGCUGGGACUACAGGCGAGCACCAUCACGCCCAGCUAAUUUUUGUAUUUUUGUUACAGAUGAGGUUUCACCGUAUUGGCCAGGAUGGUCUUGAUCUCUUGACCUCGUGAUCUGCCCGCCUCGGCCCAGUCGCACAUGUUUCCCUACGCAAGCUCCCUAUUGAUUGGAAUGAUGAAUAUUUCCAAUGGAUCGAUUUUCAAUGGUGGAAGAAAUUUGUCACUUGCAUAGGUUUGUCAUUUGCCUAGGCGAAAGGUUGCCUGAUCUUAGAAGCGUCAUUGCUUCUUUUUGAGAGGAAAUUAAAUUUCAGAAAAGGCUGAUACUAGAUGAAGUGAGAACUGAUUGAAAUUAUCAGUCACUCCUAAUACAUUUUGGGUGGACAGAGCCAUAUGGAGGAGCUUCUAGGCUGCACAUGAGAUGGACAUAUUCCAAAGGCCCAUGUGAAUAUACACAUCUGUAUUAUGGGAGGAGAAACAUAUGCAUGCCUUAGUAAAAACUAGCCAGUAGCACAGAAGAGCCAGCUUUUAAUGUGCAGAGAGCAGGGUGAGAAGCAGGAGACAGGCCCACUCUGGCUGGGUGGUUAGGAGUUGGUAAGUCCAUAGGGAGGGUACAUGCGGAACACCAUUGAGUGCUAUUAGCUUGGUGGCCUUGGGCGGCCAGAGUUGGCGUGGAUGGGUAGAUGACGUCAACAGAAGGAGUGAAUAAUCCUGCUGGGAGAUACUUUCUCCCCUCACGACUUUGCUCAGAGCUUGACACGAGGAUUUGUGUUUGAUAUGAAACACCAUUCAAGAGUUUUGCUCACAAUUUAUGCCGCAUAUGCAAAAACAAGCAGAAAAACAAAUGAAAAUACGUAACAUACGAUCUUCAAGAAUAAUUCAGAUAUUUAAAUGAAUGGGAGAGAGAAUUUUGCAAGCUUAAUAAUAAAACGGUUUUAAAAGAAGUUUGUUUCCUGUUUUCCCUAAGCAUAGUGUAUGCAAGCAUAAAAUUUCCAUGUGCCUGUCUUGCUAUCUGUCGGUGAGAAAGAUAUCAAGUUCCUCUCCUUUAACAGGUGGAUAUCAAUAUGUUUUUAUUUAUGAGUGGAUUCAUUUAAUUCCUGGAUAUGAUAGUUCUCAUAUAUUUCUAUAAGCCGAUUUCUGUGUUAUCAUAAAUUCUAAGUCAGCAUUUCUAUACCCAAAAGAGCAUUUAAAAGGUAUCACAACUAAUCAUUCGGCUACAACCAGGGCUUUAUCCGAGCUCCUGGAGACACAAACACAUUGAUCCUACAGAGAUGCUGAUUUCUCUGGUGCUGUAGGAAUCACCAAUGGGAAAAAACUGACUUUAAAAGUCAGUUAAGGAACUUUAAGAGUAUUAUCUGGUGUGUCUGAAGUUGGAGUUAUUUAGGUUUUAUUUUUUCAGACACCAAAUGACUCACCUACUUAGUGUUAAUUUAUGUUUAAAAAAAUAACAAUUUUCAUCUCUAAUUAAUGCUUCCCUUAACCCAAGCUGGACAUAAAGGAAGAUCAUCAAAUAAUAUGUGAUUUAGCUCUUGUGACACAAACAUGUGAAGGUCUGGGUCAUUUUGAUUCUGUUAAAAUGAGCUAAGCUUUUCAUUUCUUUUUCCUAUCAAGAAAGGCUCUCGACCGACUGUGUGGUCAGGGUAGGAGAGGCUGAGGAAGGAUGGGGGCCAUAACCUUGGGUUCGGUGUGAAGUCCGGGACAGCCUGGGCCUGAGGGACAGCUGCAGCCAGGGUGUCUCUGGGCUCCAGGGAGCUUCUUUGCCUAUGGGAUUCUUGGAGGGGAUCUGCUCUGUUUGUGAAUUCCCACUGCCUCACGGCUGAAGUCUGACACAUAGUACCACCAUCUUCCUGGAGUGACUGGGAGAGACACCUGGGAUCUUGCUGGGUCAAUAGUGACUGUGCAAGGCCAUCCAUGAUAAAAUGCGUUCCAACCUCAGAGACAUGAAAAUAAAAGUGAAAAAAAGAAAAGGCAUCUUAGAAUCUGUGAAAUGUUGUAAGUAAAAUAGGAACACGGUGGUUAUGUUUGGAUUAAGUACGGCUGUGCUCAAGACAAGCUCACCUGACUUCUGCCUCCCGCUUCUGCCUCCUUCGUGUGGUCUCCAGCCUGGAGCUGGAUGUUGGAGUGAACAUGAGUGUAAACACAGAAAGCGUCGACAUGUUUUCAACAAGGAAAUUCGUUUCUUUGCUCUGUGUGCUUGUGUGCCUGUCUAGGACCGUGUUGUAACUUCAGGAAAGAUUAGAAUCAGUGAACUCCUUCAGGGCUAGGACCAGGAAUUCUGUCUGUACUCUUUUUACCUUCUUGCCAUCUUUCCUCAAUUAUUAAUACAUUACUCUCGCACAAGGAGGCAAAGCUCAGAGGUGUUAGUGCUCUUUUUUUUAAAAAGCAACAAGUAUUAUAGAUCUUUAUUUUAGUAAAAGAAAAUUGAAUCUUUUGACAAGAGUUCCUAUACAUUCUCAUUUAGUCCAAAUUGUCAGCCCAGAAGCCCCAGUGAACACAACCUGAAUUUCAGGCUUUAUACCACACGAUACAAGAACCUGCAAAUAAAAGAAAAAUUCAGUGACUUUAGGAUUCUUCUUGCUUCUCUUUUGCAUCUGAGACUUCAAGAAUACAAUUCAAAAAUUUCUCAGCUUAAACAUUACAUUGAUUUAAAGUUUCAGAUAUUUCAAAACCCUUUCUCUGGAAUUGCCAUAUUUGGCCCAAAACCCAAGUCAAAACACCCUACAAGGGAAGAGCAGAGAGGACUUGUUACACCCAUUUUUCAGAUGAGAAGACUGAGGGACAGAAGAGCUGAGAAGGCACUACUGGUGCUCUGUCCUGAGUCCUGGAACUGUCCCAAGAAUACGGGCCUGAUGUUAGCAAGCACCUUUCCCACGACCUGGCACUACCUACCUUUCAUUGCUAUAUGGACCAGAGUCAGAGGAAGUGUGGGGCCCAGAGAGCGUGCGGGUGACUGCGCCUGGACCCUCUGUCAGUCAAGAUGUCCUUGGGUUUUCUCCUUGCUGCCCUGUUCCUUGUACAGCCACACCUAUCUCCAAACCAGCUGCAUCGACACCUUUGUUAUUAUGAGGAUUUGAUUCCACCUAGGAUGUGCAGCUUUUACUGUGAUCAAUGGCCUCUGAGAGUAUGGAGUGGAGGACAGAAGAAAAUGCAAAGCAACUGGACGUUCCAGAAUGAGGAGCUGUUCCAGAAUGGGGAGCCGUUCCAGAAUGGGGAAUCGUUUCAGAAUGAGAAGCCAUUCCAGGAUGAGGAGCUGUUCCAGAGUGGGGAGCUGUUCCAGACUGAUGAGCUGCACCUUGUACCUGCCUCACACCUGAUCACAUAGCCUUGAUGCCAGAAACCUAGAGUGCUCUAUUUAGAAACGUUAGGCUGGCAGCAGGAACCCCUGAAGAAACUCAGGACGCUAGGUGCUUGAGCGCGCAGCUAACCUGCAGGAGAAACAUCUCCCUUCUGCUGACCUGAGGCUUGACUCCUCUCCCACAGGAGGGGAAAAGAGGCCUCCACCCACAGUCCACUGUUAUCCUAGGAGAAAUCCUGUGGCCUCCUGCCCAGGAAGUGACAGAGAGAGAGAAGCUGAAGCUGCUUUAACCUUCAAGAUGAACCUGUUUCUUCCACGAGGUUUUCUCUUGCCUGUACACGUAUCUUUAAGUCCACCAGACACAUCCACGCUCUGCUCGCACAGCGUUGCCAGGGCCAGUGCCUUCUCUCCCAUCCUGUGUUUGCAUUUGCCAUUUGGUGGGCCUGUCCUGCUGACCAGCAAGUCUCUGUACUGAAUUUGGUGACUUUGAUCUUAUGAUUCAUGUUUCCCAGCGAGGUACUGUGUGUCUUUGCUAUGAAUAAUGUGUUAUUCAAGGGCUAGUUGGAAGAUUGCAUAUAUAAAUUGAAAACAUUUUGUCUAAAAAGGGG
Pan troglodytes (chimpanzee) is the source of this 6986-nucleotide long non-coding RNA. RefSeq lists it as uncharacterized. The transcript has 3 exons. NCBI's taxonomy places the organism in Eukaryota, Metazoa, Chordata, Mammalia, Primates, Hominidae. The record is from RefSeq and is a predicted model, not a curated record.